CUAUUUCUCCUAUUUAUUCCUUUCUUUUUUCUAAAACCCUCUCCUUCCCUCCAAACUUCCAAACAAAGUUUUAGGUUUGAUGAUUUCCUAAGCCUUCCCCCUCAUGUACCGAAGGUUGGUGCUCCACCUUCCUCUUUCUCCUUGAUUUAAUUGUCUGUGUUUCAGUGGUUUGAAUACCACUUGUUCUUCUGCAUGGGUUGCAGGAUUGAAAUUCUUCCAACAUUUCCAGACCCAUGUUGCCUGCAAAUUGCUGCUACUUUUGUGUAUGAGAAUAUUUUCCCGCGAGGUACUGUAUAAGAAGAAGGCUGCUGUGAGAGAGAGAGAGAGAGAUUAGUUAAUUUGAGAGGGUAGGGUAGUGAUGAAUGAUGAUGGGAGGUGGGUGCUGAAAGAGAGAUAGAUGCAUGAGAGAGAGAGAGAGAUAAGAAAGCCAAUCAAGGUGGGGUGUGGGUGGUGGGAAUCAUAAAUACCAACACCAAUUAAGUCUAUUACUCCCUCCGUCGUUAGAGUGUGUAAAUCCUCUUUCCUUUUUUCAUAUUUUUUUUAAAAAGUUAUCAAUAUAAUUAAUAUGUCUAUUUUUUGUAUUAAUAUUAUUAAAUUGUCCUUUAU
RNAcentral lists this long non-coding RNA (606 nucleotides) under Medicago truncatula (barrel medic). RNAcentral's name for it is "lncRNA gene27500". Lineage: Eukaryota; Viridiplantae; Streptophyta; Magnoliopsida; Fabales; Fabaceae. The record is from RNAcentral.